AGCUCUAAUAGCGUAUAUUAUUGAUGUUGCAGUUGAAACGUUCGUAGUCGAACUUUAUCUGCUCAGGUGUCGUGAAUACUAUGUAUUCUGAUACUUUUAGCAGAGAUAGUGUAAGAGGUGUUAUGCACGCUUCGUGUAUAAUAGCUUUUGCAUCUUACUUUGAGUGAAUCGGCGUGUUCCACGCAGGCAUGUGCCUUGAACGAUUUACCAUAGCAUAAUCAGAGUAUGAGAAUACUUCUUUGUUUGUUCAGAAGUGUUUUCGAUACUAAUAAGAACGGUUGAGGGCAUUCGUAUUCAACUGCUAGAGGUGAAAUUCUUUGAUUAGUUGAGGACGAACUAUUGCGAAAGCAUCUGCCAAGGACGUUUCUUUUG
This 372-nucleotide ribosomal RNA is filed under the name Lecudina sp. RNAcentral's name for it is "partial small subunit ribosomal RNA". It matches the Rfam family "Eukaryotic small subunit ribosomal RNA", at positions 587 to 975 of the family's 1831-position model. The record is from RNAcentral. Lineage: Eukaryota; Apicomplexa; Conoidasida; Eugregarinorida; Lecudinidae.